RNAcentral lists this transfer RNA (74 nucleotides) under Ornithorhynchus anatinus (platypus). RNAcentral describes it as "tRNA-Ala (TGC) (tRNA-Ala-TGC-9-1)". It matches the Rfam family "tRNA". Rfam says of the family: Transfer RNA (tRNA) molecules are approximately 80 nucleotides in length. Their secondary structure includes four short double-helical elements and three loops (D, anti-codon, and T loops). Lineage: Eukaryota; Metazoa; Chordata; Mammalia; Monotremata; Ornithorhynchidae. The record is from RNAcentral.
GGAGGGAUGUAGCUCAGUGGUAGAGCGUGUGCUUUGCAUGUAUGAGGCCCUGGGUUCGAUCCCCAGCAUUUCCA